Molecule: ribosomal RNA, 561 nt
Filed under: uncultured bacterium
Lineage: Bacteria
Description: bacterial SSU rRNA
Rfam family: Bacterial small subunit ribosomal RNA
Source: RNAcentral
CCUACGGGAGGCAGCAGUGGGGAAUAUUGGACAAUGGGCGAAAGCCUGAUCCAGCAAUGCCGCGUGAGUGAAGAAGGCCUUCGGGUUGUAAAGCUCUUUUACCCGGGAAGAUAAUGACUGUACCGGGAGAAUAAGCUCCGGCUAACUCCGUGCCAGCAGCCGCGGUAAUACGGAGGGAGCUAGCGUUGUUCGGAAUUACUGGGCGUAAAGCGUACGUAGGCGGCUUGGUAAGUCAGAGGUGAAAGCCCACGACUCAAUCGUGGAACUGCCUUUGAGACUGCUUCGCUUGAAGAUGGGAGAGGUUAGUGGAAUUCCGAGUGUAGAGGUGAAAUUCGUAGAUAUUCGGAAGAACACCAGUGGCGAAGGCGGCUAACUGGACCAUUCUUGACGCUGAGGUACGAAAGCGUGGGGAGCAAACAGGAUUAGAUACCCUGGUAGUCCACGCCGUAAACGAUGAUAACUAGCUGUCGGGGCUCUUGGAGCUUCGGUGGCGCAGCUAACGCAUUAAGUUAUCCGCCUGGGGAGUACGGCCGCAAGGUUAAAACUCAAAUGAAUUGACGG